This 926-nucleotide ribosomal RNA is filed under the name uncultured bacterium. RNAcentral describes it as "bacterial SSU rRNA". It matches the Rfam family "Bacterial small subunit ribosomal RNA", at positions 8 to 916 of the family's 1533-position model. The record is from RNAcentral.
AGAGUUUGAUCAUGGCUCAGAAUCAACGCUGGCGGCGUGCCUAACACAUGCAAGUCGAACGCGGUUAGUAGCAAUACUAACUGAGUGGCGAACGGGUGAGUAACGCGUGGGUGACCUACCUUUCGAGUGGGGGAUAACGUCCCGAAAGGGACGCUAAUACCGCAUGACAUCCUCUUUUUGAACAGAGAGAGAUCAAAGCCGGGGAUCGCAAGACCCGGCGCUUGAUGAGGGGCCCGCGUCUGAUUAGCUAGUUGGUGGGGUAAUGGCUCACCAAGGCGACGAUCAGUAUCCGGCCUGAGAGGGCGGACGGACACACUGGGACUGAGACACGGCCCAGACUCCUACGGGAGGCAGCAGUGGGGAAUUGUUCACAAUGGGCGCAAGCCUGAUGACGCAACGCCGCGUGGAGGAUGAAGGUCUUCGGAUUGUAAACUCCUGUUGCUCGGGAAGAACAGCUCCGACCUAAUACGUCGGAGUCUGACGGUACCGGGUGAGGAAGCCCCGGCUAACUCUGUGCCAGCAGCCGCGGUAAUACAGAGGGGGCAAGCGUUGUUCGGAAUUACUGGGCGUAAAGGGCGCGUAGGCGGCCUGUUAAGUCGAACGUGAAAUCCCUGGGCUCAACCCAGGAAUUGCGUCCGAUACUGGCAGGCUUGAAUCCGGGAGAGGGAUGUGGAAUUCCAGGUGUAGCGGUGAAAUGCGUAGAUAUCUGGAGGAACACCGGUGGCGAAGGCGGCAUCCUGGACCGGUAUUGACGCUGAGGCGCGAAAGCCAGGGGAGCAAACGGGAUUAGAUACCCCGGUAGUCCUGGCCCUAAACGAUGAAUGCUUGGUGUGGCGGGUAUCGAUCCCUGCCGUGCCGAAGCUAACGCAUUAAGCAUUCCGCCUGGGGAGUACGGUCGCAAGGCUGAAACUCAAAUGAAUUGACGG